RNAcentral lists this ribosomal RNA (699 nucleotides) under uncultured bacterium. RNAcentral's name for it is "bacterial SSU rRNA". It matches the Rfam family "Bacterial small subunit ribosomal RNA", at positions 138 to 857 of the family's 1533-position model. The record is from RNAcentral.
CACGGAUAACAUACCGAAAGGUAUGCUAAUACGGGAUAAUAUAUUUGAGAGGCAUCUCUUAAAUAUCAAAGGUGAGCCAGUACAGGAUGGACCCGCGUCUGAUUAGCUAGUUGGUAAGGUAACGGCUUACCAAGGCAACGAUCAGUAGCCGACCUGAGAGGGUGAUCGGCCACAUUGGAACUGAGACACGGUCCAAACUCCUACGGGAGGCAGCAGUGGGGAAUAUUGCACAAUGGGCGAAAGCCUGAUGCAGCAACGCCGCGUGAGUGAUGAAGGCCUCCGGGUCGUAAAACUCUGUCCUCAAGGAAGAUAAUGACGGUACUUGAGGAGGAAGCCCCGGCUAACUACGUGCCAGCAGCCGCGGUAAUACGUAGGGGGCUAGCGUUAUCCGGAUUUACUGGGCGUAAAGGGUGCGUAGGCGGUCUUUCAAGUCAGGAGUGAAAGGCUACGGCUCAACCGUAGUAAGCUCUUGAAACUGGGAGACUUGAGUGCAGGAGAGGAGAGUGGAAUUCCUAGUGUAGCGGUGAAAUGCGUAGAUAUUAGGAGGAACACCAGUUGCGAAGGCGGCUCUCUGGACUGUAACUGACGCUGAGGCACGAAAGCGUGGGGAGCAAACAGGAUUAGAUACCCUGGUAGUCCACGCUGUAAACGAUGAGUACUAGGUGUCGGGGGUUACCCCCUUCGGUGCCGCAGCUAACG